CAUUAAACCACCCAUACUCAGGUCUGACACAUUCCAGAUAGUUCAUAUUCUAGAAGCAACACACCCCUUAGCUCUUACUAAUUAUUCACUUCAUAUGUUCUACUUUCUGCUGAGAUGAAGUCCUGCGGUGCCUUUGGAGCUGCCCAACUAGAGGUCAACAACCCUUUUCUUUAGUCCCACCUAGCUCCACGUUCCACAUUUGGUCAUUUCUGGUGACAUGAUCAGUGAUCCCCUCAACAUCUAGUUCUCCCCCAAAGUCAAGUGUCCAUCAAGUUAGUGUAGCAUAAUUCCUUUGGAAUCCCUGGCAGUGUUAAAUCUCUAACCAUCUCCAUGUAAAUCACUUCUCCAAGUAUAGUGGCUGCAAAGGCUGACUAAUAAAGCGAAAUUCUCCUGCUUAUAGGAAAUGGAAAUCACUGCCCCAGAACCAAUUGGUGACAAGUCUGGAUGCCUGAAGCAGAAAAAGAAACUAGCAGCUUGGAGCCACAUUCUGAGAUGCCAGCAUGACAAGAAAACUUCAAGUUAUGCUGUUAUCUGAAGAUAAAGGAGAAUCUUCCUGGUGUUUUCCUGUUGACCCAUCCUAGACCAAGAGUCCUGUCAGACUUACUUCACGUUUCACUCUUUGAAGUCAGAAUUUUGACCUUUUCUUCAAAUUGACUACUUGGUGUUGGGAGAAAAUAACUCAUUUUAGCACUCCUGUCCUUGACCAUGAAGAAUCACAUCAGGACUUCAAUAUCAUUCAAAAUCCUGAACUUAGAACAGACUCAAUAUCUAGAUGAAUUUUGGGUUGUCUCUCUUAAGAACAAGCGUGUGUUCAACAUGUGAAAAGAAGAGUAAAGUGAACACUUGAUGGAUAAAAAGACUAAUUUGGAAGAGAACAUGUAUCUUCAUGAAGUCUUAAUUUCCCUGGACUCAUUGUUGACUUGUAUACCCAUUCACAGUUGCACUUAGUUGAGUCCAUGGGGUUGAAUUCCAACUAAUGGAGUGUAGGCAGAAGUAAGAACCCCACUGUCAAGUCUGCAGGGAUCGAUUGUGAGGAGCUGAGGCAGAACUCAGUUGCCUGAAUCUUUGAAGCAAAGACUCUCAGUUACACUAACCAGUACUGAACUUUGAAUAAUCAAGAACAAUAUUAUAUGAUAUAGGAGAUGGCAUGUCAUGGCAGGACAUGACAGUUUGAUGCACAGUAUAAAAGUAAGUCAUGGAGAUUUGAUGAUUCUUGGUCAGUGCAGAUAGUGCUAAUUUUUCUGAGCAACCCAGAAGAGAGACAUCUCUGAGGACAUGGUAGUUUUAGAGGAGAAAAAUUCCAUGUAAAUACCUGUGAACCAAGCAAUCAGGCAGAAAGAACAACACAUGCAAAAACUGUAGUCUGGGAGCAUGUGUUUAAGAGUCAGAAAGAAAGGAGUACAAUUCAUUUCUAGUGAAGGAGGAGGAAGAAGACAGGAACUGAAGGUUGAAGAGAGCAGUAGAGAUCAGACUGUACCGGCACUAGUGUAGAGUAGAGGUCGUGGUGGAGAGUUUAAAUUUCACUCUAAUUGGGAUGGGAAAUCAUUGGGAAAUUUGAAACACAUAAAAGACAUGGCCUUAUUAUGACAUAUGCUUUUAAACCAUAAUUUGGACCACUCUUUAUAAUGCUCAAGAAGAGAAGCAGAGAGACAAGUAAGGAAAUAGUGGCAACCUUCCAGGCAAACCAGUUUUGGUGGAAGGGGAGAAUAUGGGUGCAUUUCACUGAGUCAUUUAGUGAGUAAGUCUAGGGAAACCUAUGGAUCACACAUUCAUUUAAUUUUCAUCGAAAUACAUAGUGUAAAUAAUACAUCAGCCAACUGUAGGAGUCGUGAUUUCUUUUAAAUGUUUGCAGUGCAUGCAGGUAGAGUGCAGCACGCGCUGAUUUUCAGCUUUCUAGAUACCUUGCUGUGCCAUUAGUGAUUCAAAUUCUUCCCAGUAACAGCGACUACAACAAGCUGAUGGUUUCCCCAGUGACCACCAGCUGGCGCCAGUAGACAACACUCCCUGGAAAGGGAACACAAACAGGAGGAAGUCAGUGCAGGUGAACAGACCUAAUAAAUCUCACCCGAGAUCUGACAUGUAGAAAUCCUGUGCUGUCCUUUGCUGGGAAUGGAAAGCAGCCCCAGCAACUUGACACAAAAUAAACAGGUUCACAGCCUAAGAGGCUUGUCUGUAGGGUGCUUCAGACCUGGAAUGAAAUAAGAUCUUCCUGAAAUGGGAGAAACCACAUUUUAGGAUGCAGAGUAGUGAUGUGUAUGGGUGAGAAGUAUGUACUCUUACCUUUGAGCUUCAGCCAGACAGUGAGGAGACUCAGUUCCUUCUUUUUCAUGAGGUAGAGUGAAGGGUAUAAGUAAGGGCUUGCUGUAAACCAUCCACGUGACUUGAAAAAUCUUUUGUGAGGUGUUAUUUUGCACAUAUUCCUUGUGCUAUUCAUGUGGUACUUGUCGAGUUGUAAAACAAUUUUUGAAUAUUCUGGGUGCAAUUUAUUUGUCAGAUAUGUGAAGUACAUCUAUUCAUAAAGAACAGACAUUGAUGGAACGGAACAGAGAACUCAGAAAUACUGUAACUCAAGAAAUACUAUCAUAAAUAUAUUCAGUUGAUUUUUCACAAAGGUCCAAUUUAUUUCUGUGUUGAAAAGAUUAUUCUUUCUCCACAGACAAAAAGUGAACUUUUACACUGACCUUACCCGAAAGUUAACUCGGAAUAUACCACAGAAUUAACUAUAAAAUGCCAAAUGGUACAGCUUUUUAGAAAAAAAAAAUUUCAUGUCCUUAUUCAUAGCUACUUAGAAGUAACAAAAUGCAUAAUUUGUGAAAAACUGAUGAAUUUUGUUUUAUUAAAAUCUGUCUCUGCUGAUGGAAAGACGAAUAAUCAAUCACAGCCCCGGGGCGUACAUUUGUACCUCAUAUUGGCUCAAGCUGAAUCCACUCUCAGUAAGUGACAGCAGAGAACUCUCAUUGGGAGACUGAUUGGCAAUUAGCCUUCACCUCUUAAACAGAAAAGGGCAGAUAGAACUUUCAGAAUCUGUAAGAAGUAGAGGAACAGUCUAGUGGAUAGAUAGAUAGAUAGAUAGAUAGA
Condylura cristata (star-nosed mole) is the source of this 3078-nucleotide long non-coding RNA. RefSeq lists it as uncharacterized. The transcript has 4 exons. Lineage: Eukaryota; Metazoa; Chordata; Mammalia; Eulipotyphla; Talpidae. The record is from RefSeq and is a predicted model, not a curated record.